GACGAACGCUGGCGGCGUGCCUAACACAUGCAAGUCGAACGGACAGGCCCUGCUUUUGUGGGGUGCUCGAGUGGCGAACGGGUGAGUAACACGUGAGUAACCUGCCCUUGACUUUGGGAUAACUUCAGGAAACUGGGGCUAAUACCGGAUAGGAGCUCCCGCUGCAUGGUGGGCGUUGGAAAGUUUCGGCGGUUGGGGAUGGACUCGCGGCUCAUCAGCUUGUUGGUGGGGUAGUGGCUUACCAAGGCAUGGACGGGUAGCCGGCCUGAGAGGGUGACCGGCCACCUUGGGACUGAGAUACGGCCCAGACGCCUACGGUAGGCAGCGGUGGGGAAUAUGGUACAGUGGGCGGGAGCCUGAUGCAACAGCGCCGCGUGCGGGAUGACGGCCUUCUGGUAGUAAACCGCAUUCGCCUGAGACGAAGCGGUAGUGACGGUAAUGGGUAAAGAAGCACCGGCUAACUACGUG
Molecule: ribosomal RNA, 468 nt
Filed under: uncultured bacterium
Lineage: Bacteria
Description: partial 16S ribosomal RNA
Rfam family: Bacterial small subunit ribosomal RNA
Source: RNAcentral